Molecule: ribosomal RNA, 497 nt
Filed under: uncultured bacterium
Lineage: Bacteria
Description: partial 16S ribosomal RNA
Rfam family: Bacterial small subunit ribosomal RNA
Source: RNAcentral
GAUGAACGCUGGCGGCGUGCCUAAUACAUGCAAGUCGAGCGAACAGACGAGGAGCUUGCUCCUCUGACGUUAGCGGCGGACGGGUGAGUAACACGUGGAUAACCUACCUAUAAGACUGGGAUAACUUCGGGAAACCGGAGCUGAUACCGGAUAAUAUAUUGAACCGCAUGGUUCAAUAGUGAAAGACGGUUUUGCUGUCACUUAUAGAUGGAUCCGCGCCGCAUUAGCUAGUUGGUAAGGUAACGGCUUACCAAGGCAACGAUGCGUAGCCGACCUGAGAGGGUGAUCGGCCACACUGGAACUGAGACACGGUACAGACUCCUACGGGAGGCAGCAGUAGGGAAUCUUCCGCAAUGGGCGAAAGCCUGACGGAGCAACGCCGCGUGAGUGAUGAAGGUCUUCGGAUCGUAAAACUCUGUUAUUAGGGAAGAACAAAUGUGUAAGUAACUAUGCACGUCUUGACGGUACCUAAUCAGAAAGCCACGGCUAACUACGUG